RNAcentral lists this ribosomal RNA (440 nucleotides) under uncultured bacterium. RNAcentral's name for it is "partial 16S ribosomal RNA". It matches the Rfam family "Bacterial small subunit ribosomal RNA", at positions 338 to 795 of the family's 1533-position model. The record is from RNAcentral.
CCUACGGGUGGCAGCAGUGGGGAAUAUUGCACAAUGGGGGAAACCCUGAUGCAGCGACGCCGCGUGAGUGAAGAAGAAAUUCGUUAUGUAAAGCUCUAUCAGCAGGGAAGAAAAUGACGGUACCUGAGUAAGAAGCACCGGCUAACUACGUGCCAGCAGCCGCGGGAAUACGUAGGGGGCAAGCGUUAUCCGGAUUUACUGGGUGUAAAGGGGGCGUAGACGGCAGUGCAAGUCUGGAGUGAAAGGCGGGGGCUCAACCCCCGGACUGCUCUGGAAACUGUACGGCUGGAGUGCGGGAGAGGUAAGUGGAAUUCCUAGUGUAGCGGUGAAAUGCGUAGAUAUUAGGAAGAACACCAGUGGCGAAGGCGGCUUACUGGACUGUAACUGACGUUGAGGCACGAAAGCGUGGGGAGCAAACAGGAUUAGAUACCUGAGUAGUC